GCCUACGGCCAUACCACCCUGAGAAAGGCCCGAUCCCGUCUGAUCUCGGAAGGUAAGCAGGGUCGGGCCCGGUUAGUACUUGGAUGGGAGACCACCAUGGAAAACUGGGUUACCGGGAGGCU
This 122-nucleotide ribosomal RNA is filed under the name Cyanistes caeruleus (blue tit). The record is from RNAcentral. Lineage: Eukaryota; Metazoa; Chordata; Aves; Passeriformes; Paridae.